ACGCAGAGAAUACUUUGCCGCAGACUGCGCAACUGCGCCCUGCACUUUCUCCUUUAUUCCUUUUGGUGUUCACAACAGAAUGCGAUCCGCUUUCCCCGCCACGCCCGCCCACGCUGCGUCGUGCCCGCCUUUGGCGCGGGAACGUUUCAUGCGUGGCGUGGCGAGAAUGCCGCUGGGCCGCACCGUGAACGCAGCACGGCUCUGGCCUUACACCAAGCGUUCGUGACUCAUGCAACUACCUGGACUUAGAAUAAAAACAUGACUAUGCAGCUAUGCCUAAUUGCAGUAUGAAACAUGGCAUGCACGUGAUUAGAAACAACAUUUCACCCCCUUAAUCACGCUGCACUUCAAUCACACCAAGUUGCUGUCGUAGCUCCACGAACCUGACACGCCCAAGUGCCUUUGUUAAGAUGUCUGCCAGCUGAUCUGCUGUGCUCACAUGAUCAAUGUCGACAUCCCCUCUUUCAACACAAUCACGAAUGAAAUGGUAUCUUGUGUCUAUAUGUUUGCUUCUAUCAUGGUGAACUGGAUUCUUACUCAAUGCAAUUGCUGAUUUGUUAUCCACCAGAAGUUUCACCUGCGGCGUUGGAAUGCCUAGCAGCCCACCCAGAAGUCUGCUGAGCCAAAUGCCUUGACAAGCAGCGUUGGCACUUGCAAUAUACUCAGCCUCACAUGACGAUAGAGCUACCACCCUUUGCUUCUGAGAUCCCCAAGUCACCAAACUUGUUCCUAACAGAAACACUGAACCACUUGUGCUCUUUCGGUCAUCAACAUCCCCAGCUAAAUCACUGUCACUAUAGCCAGUCAGACUUGUUUCAGAUGUGUUCAGCUUCCUGUAGAUGCAGCCAUAGUUCACAGUACCUGACAGAUACCUGAGAAUCUGUUUCACAGCUGCCCAGUGACUUGCCUUCGGAUCCUCCAUGUACCUGCUAACUAUCCCAACUGAGUAGGCAAUGUCUGGUCUAGUGUUGACCAGAUAUCUCAGACUUCCAAUUACACUUCUAUACUUUGUCUUGUCGACUGAAGGUGUCUUGUCAUUUUUGCUCAGCUUCAACCGAUUUUCCAUGGGCACAUGACAGGGAUUACACCCUUUCAUACCUGUCUGCUCUAGGAUUUUCAGUGUAUACGAACUCUGACAUAGUGAGAUCACCCCCUCCUUUUGUGUUACUUGGAUGCCUAGAUAGUAAGUCAGCAGCCCCAGGUCACUCAUACUAAAACUCUUCAUCAUCUCCUUCUUGAAUGCCUCAAUGUUUGCACUGCUUGGUCCUGUUAUGAUCAGAUCAUCAACAUAAACACCCACCAAGAGAAAACCAUCAGUAUGCUUCCUCCUGUAAACAGCAUGUUCAAGAGGAUUUUUCUCAAAACCAAGCUUGAUCAACUCACUGUCUAAUUUAGCAUUCCAAGCCCUAGGAGCCUGACGCAAGCCAUACAAUGCUUUAUUCAGUCUGAGCACCUUGCCACUGCCUCCCUCGACAACAAAUCCAGGAGGUUGCUGUACAUAUACCUCCUCCAUCAGUUCACCAUUCAAGAAUGCCGACUUCACAUCCAUGUGAUGUACAUUCCAUCCUCUCUGAGCAGCAAGAGCAAUUAAUAAUCUCACUGUUUCUAUCCUUGCCACAGGGGCAAACACUUCUUCAAAAUCCACCCUUCUCUCUGUGCAUACCCUUUCGCAACCAACCUUGCUUUGUGCUUAAUAAUGUUACCAUCUGGAUCUUUCUUCACCUUGAAAACCCAUUUAAGCCCUAUAGCUUUGUGGCCUGCAGGUAGCACUGACAGCACCCAAGUCUUGUUUGACUGAAUGGAGUUCAUUUCAGUCAUCAUGGCUUCCCUCCAGCACUGUUCUGACAGGGCUACCUCCACACUUCUUGGCUCCUCUGCUGCAUGGAAACACACACCACUAUACUCGAAAUCAUGAAUUUCUUCAGUUGUAUCAUAUAAAUCAGAUAGAUUUCUGUAACCUGUUGGAACCCCUUCAGUGUUACUAGACCAUUCUAACUGUGGUGUUUCUGAAAAUUCUCCAUGUGCAGGACUCCCUACAGGCGUGUGUGGAGUUGAUCCUCCAUGUGAACUAGUGCCAGCACUCCACUCACCUUGAGCUGGUGAAUUCUGAACUGAAUCACCAGAAAAUUCUGCGUCCUCUCCUUCAGUUACUGCUGCUUCAGUUACAGUUCUCUGUCUGGCAGCAGAAUAGAACUCCACAUCGAACACUGAACUGACUGGUUCAUUACCAGCCUCUUGCUUCCAGUCCCAAGCCUGUCCUUCCUCAAAGAUUACAUCUCGGGAUAUGUGAAGUUUCUUAGCUACAGGAUCAUAGACUCUAUAACCCUUUGUGCCACUUUCAUAACCAAUAAACACCAUUUUGGUGGACCUGUCAGAGAGCUUAGAAAUCCCUGGCCCAACUUUCUUCACAUAAACAACACAACCAAAUGUGCGUAAGUGAUGUACCUUGGGCUUCUUAUUGUACCAGGCUUCAUAUGGUGUACGGUCUUGCAAGCUCUUUGUUGGAGAACGGUUCAACAGAUAAACUGCAGUUGACACCGCUUCUCCCCAAAAUUCAGCUGGCAUGCCCUUGCUCUUCAGCAAACAUCUUGCCAUCUCUGCCACCGUACGGUUCCGGCGCUCGACGACGCCAUUCUGUUGGGGUGUGUACGGUGCUGUAGUGAAAUGCUUGAUGCCGUGUUCGUCGCAGUACUCCUUGAACUCGAUGGAAUUAAAUUCCCCGCCACGAUCGCUACGGAACGCGCGAAGCUUCAAAGCACGCUCAGUUUCAGCUAAUGCCUUCACCCGCUUGAAACACUUGAACGCCUCAUCCUUUGUUGUCAGGAGUUCAACCCACAUGAAACGACUGAAAUCGUCAACAAUUAACAGGAAAUAGCCCUUACCACCUGGUGUCUUUGGUCUGAUCUGGCCACAGAGAUCUGCGUGAACCAGGUCAAGUCCUUUCUUGGCUCGAUAAUUCGCCACCUGAGGGAAUGAGUGUCGCUGAUGCUUGCCCAAUGCACAGCCAUCACACACUUCUUCUGCACGAUUUAACAGUGGUAUCCCAUCCACCAUUCCCUUUUGUCCGAGCUCUCUGAGUGCUCUGAAAUUGAGAUGGCCAUACCGGCCAUGCCAGAGCCAGGCUUGAUCAUCUGCCUUCGCCUUCAGACAGACUGGAGCAGUCAGGUGCGUCUUCAGCAGAUAGAGACGAUUUGACACUCGCGGUGCGCGCGCCAAGAGCAAGCGCUCAACGUCGUACACAUUGCAGUAUCCGUUCUCCAAUAUUACCUUGCAUCCUCCCUCUUCCAAUUGACCUAGGCUCACAAUAUUACUUUUUAGCUUGGGAAUGUAAUAUACCUCUGUUAGCACCUUGUGACCCUCCUUCGUCUGGAGCACCACCGAUCCGAUGCCCUCGAUCUCUACGAGCGAGCCGUCGCCAAAACGCACUGUGCCACGCACAAACUUGUCUAGCGAUGCGAGUGCCUCGUGCCUCCCUGUCAUGUGGUUGCUAGCCCCCGUAUCGAGGACCCAAACAUUCUUGUCUUCAUCAUUGUGCGCCGGGAACACCUUCUUCUCGUUGAGGUGCACAACUUGCUGUGUCGUGCGCACACCUGAUGGCUUGAGGUCGAACGGCGCCCUGUGAACACGCACCGUGGCCACCGUCGCCAGAAGCAGGAAGGGAUUUCCUGCUCUGUCUGCGCGACAAUUGCCUCCUCCUUGCGUUCCUUCUUGGGUGGCCGCUUGCAGUCUACACGCCAGUGGCCGUAGAUGCCACAGUUCCUGCAACGGCCUUUCCGCCGCGGAGUACCCUCCGUCGUCAGCUUCACGGGGCUGCCCUUCUUGUCACCACGGCCGCCGGUCUUUGACUUGCCGGGAUUGUACCCCGACUUCUUCUCCCCACCGCUCGACGACGACGAAUCUGGCAGGAGACGAUGUCGAUUUCUUGACACCCAGUCCUCCUCCGUCAACAAUAGUCGCCGCGUCUUGUCAGUGACAGUUUCGGCCUCGAUCCGGUCCUCAGCCAUCCUGAGACGGCCGACCAGCUCCUCGACCGUCAGGGUCUUCAGAUCGAGUAGGGUUUCGAUCGAGAUCGCGAUCUGGGCGUAGCGUUGGGGUAGCACACGCAACAUCUUCUUCACGACCCGAGUGUCUUCAAUCUCCUCCCCGGACGUGCGUAGAUCCGCCGCCAGUGCAUUGAUGCGCAUCGCGAAAUCGUCCACCGAUUCGCCGUCACUGAAAGCGAUGUUCUCAAACUCCUUCAAUAGGCGUUGUGCAUUCGCCUCCUUCACGCGCUCUGCUCCCACACGCAUGCUCUUCACCGCCGACCAUGCUUCCUUCACUGUCCUCUUGGACCCAAGCAUUUGCCACAUCUCCUUCGGUACAGACCGCAGCAGACAGCCCAUGGCCAAUCUGUCCUGCGAUCUCCUGACGCCGUCACCUCCAGGCUCGAUCACCUCCCACACCUCCAUAGCUUCAUAGUUACACUGCAUGAGCAUCGCCCACUCCGAGUAAUUUGAGCGGGUGAGCAUCGGCCACAUCAGUGAACUCUCGCGAACACCGCUCGCCGACGAACUGCGCUCAUUUCCGCUGCCGGAUGUCUCCACUCUUCGGGGCUCACGCAGUGGACUCACGGAACCACUACAGAGGAUACGACGAGGCUUUGAUACCAGUUGUUGGCGCCGGCCACCGGAGUUUGGAGCUGGACGGCGAUCAGCGGCGGCUCUGUUUUUUCACCUGAUGAAAAAACCACUCAACAGAACAGAGGCUGGUGAGUACGCAGAGAAUACUUUGCCGCAGACUGCGCAACUGCGCCCUGCACUUUCUCCUUUAUUCCUUUUGGUGUUCACAACAGAAUGCGAUCCGCUUUCCCCGCCACGCCCGCCCACGCUGCGUCGUGCCCGCCUUUGGCGCGGGAACGUUUCAUGCGUGGCGUGGCGAGAAUGCCGCUGGGCCGCACCGUGAACGCAGCACGGCUCUGGCCUUACACCAAGCGUUCGUGACUCAUGCAACUACCUGGACUUAGAAUAAAAACAUGACUAUGCAGCUAUGCCUAAUUGCAGUAUGAAACAUGGCAUGCUCGUGAUUAGAAACAACAUUUCACCCCCUUAAUCACGCUGCACUUCAAUCACACCAAGUUGCUGUCGCAGCUCCACGAACCUGACACGCCCAAGUGCCUUUGUUAAGAUGUCUGCCAGCUGAUCUGCUGUGCUCACAUGAUCA
This 5199-nucleotide long non-coding RNA is filed under the name Zea mays. RNAcentral describes it as "long non-coding RNA (ZMAY_LNC002943)". Lineage: Eukaryota; Viridiplantae; Streptophyta; Magnoliopsida; Poales; Poaceae. The record is from RNAcentral.